GCUGCAGCAGGCCUUUCUGACAGGCCCACAGUGCUCGGGAGGAACCAGCAAGAGGCUGGCGCCUCUGGUUCUGCUCUACUGUCUGGUAGCAUUGCUCCCCCUGCUCAGGCCGGAUGUGUUCACACCCACCUGCCUGGAGCUAGAUGCAGUGCGCAGCACCUUCUGUGGCCUCCCACUCAGGAAGGGCCUCCAGUGACCUUGUUUGACACCAUCCUCUAUGUGAACAUGCUGGAAGCAUCAACCCACAAGACAGCGCCCUGGACAAGCCCGGUCAUCAAAGCCCUGCCUGCUGGCCUUAAGGAGGGAAACAAAAUACAGCUGAUGCUUCCUGCAGGACAGUGCCCCGAGCAGCAGGUUCAGGCGGAACUCCGGCGACACAGCUGGAAGGUGCUCCGGGAGCCAAGAGGAAAACUCUGAGAGGUUUAACAGCAGCUGCAGGCACUGCACAGGCCUCAGGGCUCUGAACUGAGCUGAUGGGAGGCAGGGACAUCUCGAGUCCCACAUGUCCCCAUGCCUUCCCUGGGGUGCACACCGAGCAUCUGGGGGUGGGAUCUGGCCCAGGGAAACAGGAAAGGACCUGGAAGCCAGCUGGGAUGCAAUUGGCUGACAACUCCAUCUGCAGUGCAGACCAGCCUGGGCGAGUGAGGGCUGUGGCCCACAGUGGCUGAAAGUGGCCUUAGCUGACUUUCAGCUCCACCUAAGGUUUACAUGGAGGCCUGCAACAGUGGAGACAUCCUCAGUGGGAGGCCAAGGCAAGGGCGCAGCUAUAAAGCAAGGCCAACCUGGGCGACACCCGAGACCCUCGUUCAGCUGUAAAAACAAAAGAGGUCGUUGGAAUAAAGUAGGCCCGCUCUGUGCUCUGCCCAGCCCAGGACUGCAACGCGUACUUCAGAGAUGCAGAAAGCAGGAAGCCGGCAUGUGAGGCUUUGCAGGUCUGCCCCAGCCAGGUGCUCUAGGACCCCACAGAUGGAAGAAGUGGGGUGGGAGGGAGGAACCUCUGUGUUCAGGGUCAUACAGCAUGGCUCCUGGUGCGCUUCUGUGGCUAUAUGCUGGAAGUGUGGGCGUGCUCACUCCUGAACUACUGAAAGAAGCCGAGGGGGCUGCCUGUCACCCAGCACCUCCUUCCCUCGCUGCUCUGAACCAGCUCUGACUCACCAACAGCCCUAUUACUGCUAAAAUAGCUUUUUUAUCAAAAGCUAGGUAGAGCCCAGAGCCCAUCCCUGGGCUCCAUGCCUGGAACACAUGCCCCGUCCCGAGGGGCACUCAGCUUUCUGUCAGACUCCAAACUAUACACAAAUUCUGGUCCCCUACCUUCUGAUGAAGUACCAUGACUUUACGUUAUGAUAACAGUGUGAUUUAUUAUUUACCAAAUGCGCUAGGUGCUUGGCAGAUCAAUUUCAAUAAAACAAUGGAUUAUAAAUGCAGCCAGCAAUCUGGCAGUAGCAGUAAUCAACAAAACAUGUUCUAAAUGCUACAUAAUAAAUUGACUAUAAUAAACUCAUAA
This is a long non-coding RNA of Meriones unguiculatus (Mongolian gerbil), 1504 nucleotides long. RefSeq lists it as uncharacterized. The record is from RefSeq and is a predicted model, not a curated record. The transcript has 2 exons. NCBI's taxonomy places the organism in Eukaryota, Metazoa, Chordata, Mammalia, Rodentia, Muridae.